GGGCCCGCACAAGCAGUGGAGCAUGUGGUUUAAUUCGAAGCAACGCGCAGAACCUUACCAGCCCUUGACAUCCCGGUCGCGGUUUUCAGAAAUGAAUUCCUUCAGUUCGGCUGGACCGGUGACAGGUGCUGCAUGGCUGUCGUCAGCUCGUGUCGUGAGAUGUUGGGUUAAGUCCCGCAACGAGCGCAACCCUCGCCUUUAGUUGCCAGCAUUUAGUUGGGCACUUUAAGGAAACUGCCGGUGAUAAGCCGGAGGAAGGUGGGGAUGACGUCAAGUCCUCAUGGCCCUUACAGGCUGGGCUACACACGUGCUACAAUGGCGAUGACAGUGGGCAGCGACCCCGCAAGGGUGAGCUAA
Molecule: ribosomal RNA, 357 nt
Filed under: uncultured bacterium
Lineage: Bacteria
Description: bacterial SSU rRNA
Rfam family: Bacterial small subunit ribosomal RNA
Source: RNAcentral